CCACAUCUUAAGAGGGUUUUGCCAUAACUUUUGACCAACUGUGUAAAUCUUCUCCUCAUUGGAUGUUUUACUUUUGAGUGGUGAUAAUUCAUUCUCAUCAGCCUUCUGAUUCUUCUAAUGUUUUACAGCUACCCACAUAUGUGGAAAAAGACACAAGGUACUUUAGUAGACUGAACUAUCCCUGAUGAGUUUCCCAGGUCACAUUCAAAGUAGCACAUUACUUUCACUAGCCAUAUCCUAGUUUCUCACACUGAAAUGUGAAUUGCAAAAAGUGAAAC
Molecule: long non-coding RNA, 278 nt
Filed under: Homo sapiens (human)
Lineage: Eukaryota; Metazoa; Chordata; Mammalia; Primates; Hominidae
Description: HSALNT0383604
Source: RNAcentral